GUGCUUGCUUUGACAGCACAUAUACUAAAACUGGAACGAUAUAGAGAAUAUUAGCAUGGCCCCUGUGCAAGGAUGACACACAAAUUCAUGAAGCAUUCCAUAUUUUU
Molecule: small nuclear RNA, 107 nt
Filed under: Cavia aperea (Brazilian guinea pig)
Lineage: Eukaryota; Metazoa; Chordata; Mammalia; Rodentia; Caviidae
Source: RNAcentral